This 1536-nucleotide long non-coding RNA is filed under the name Cyanistes caeruleus (blue tit). RNAcentral's name for it is "lncRNA (ENSCCEG00000016145.1)". Lineage: Eukaryota; Metazoa; Chordata; Aves; Passeriformes; Paridae. The record is from RNAcentral.
CCUUUCUCUGUUCAUACUCCACUGAUUCUCUCUCUCACUAGGCUCAAAUUCUGCCUUUCAGCAGCCAAGGGGUAUGGGGAAUAAAUCCUGAAUGCAGACAAGGUGUGCUUAAGAUCAGGAGUCUCAGUCUCCAGGAUGAACCAAGAAGCUGGAUACCCUGGCUGAAGUCUGCCAAGGCUCAGGAGCACAGCAGCAUGCCAGAUCCUCCCUGGAUUUGAGCAUAACAGCCUGUUUUGGUGGCUAGCUUCUUCAGCUAAUGGAUGACACAGAGAAAUACCUGAAUCUAUCAUAUGUCUGUGAGGACCAAAUUCCUAGAUUGCAAGACCAGCCUAAUUCUUUGCUCUGCUGGAAGUCAUCUUAAGAGGCUGCUUGACAUGGGUCUCAGGAAUGCCUUGUGGAACUUCAGCACUCAGCUCUUACUCCAUCAUCACCGCCUUGCAGAGAUGCUGCAUCUGGGAGUCCAUCUAAGUGAGAGGCUGGUUCACUUUGAACACUGGUGUGAAGCUAGGCUACACUUACUUUCUGGAGCUCUUUAGCAUUAUCACGAGUAGCUACUGUGUAGGCAGCACGAGCAGCAGCAUUCUGUGGGGUGGAUUGCACAUAUCUUGGAAGUGUAAAUUGUGCUAGUAGCACUGCGUUACUGAGCCAUAGACCUGAAAAAACCUGUGAAGAUACAUAACCUAGCAAAAGCAGUAAGCCAGACAGGAUUCAAAAUCAGUUAUCAAAGCAAACAUCCCUGAAAGCUUAAUACCAAGCAUCAAAGUCAUGCUAGAAAAUACAAAUUCUGGGAAAGCAGAGCUUGCCAGUCCUGUCCAUAUCCCACUUCUGACUAAUUAGGAAAGAACUGACAGUAAAAAUAGGAAAGUCUUGCACCACUCAUUUCAGCAUAUGUGAAUCCAAGAUAUUCUGUUCCAGAUUAAAAAAAAAAAAAAAAAAGAAAAAAGAUUUUUUAGAAUUAUUAUUUACAUGUAAUUACAAUGCUAAAAUAGAUCCUGGAAAACAGAGACAUCAAAGAUGCUAGGAAAAGUAGAUGCCUGGAGAAAAAGAAAGUGCCUAUGAAAAGGUCUGAAUGUUGGUCUCUGUCUCAGUACAGAGUUGAACUUCCCACCACCACCUCUCCAUGCACCAGGCAGCAGGGAGCAUGGGGUAUAACAGUGCAAUCUCUGAAUGGCAACCCCCAAGAAUUCCUCCAGAGAUGAUCCAAUGUGUGUGAAGAAGACCCACCUGACAGGAAUGAUGGUGAUCAAUCCCAACCAUGUGCUAGAAACUGCAGGGAAUGACAAUAAGAAAUGGAAGAUGCCACCUUCCACAGCAAGAACAACAUAAGAACUGCAAAGAGAACCCAAUACAUUCUCCAUAAGUGCUUUGUUUGCUCUGCAAAGAAAUUUUGCAUUACCUAGUUUGCCACUGGAGGUAAUAGUUGUGAACCUUACCAAAGGGGAGGAAAAUAAUGCUCUUGCUCCAGAGAUGCAAAGUGUAGCUGCUGUCCAGGUGAAAGCACUGUACCAAAUACUUCAAGGAGCCAGGGAAAACCCC